Calidris pugnax (ruff) is the source of this 1589-nucleotide long non-coding RNA. RefSeq lists it as uncharacterized. The transcript has 2 exons. The record is from RefSeq and is a predicted model, not a curated record. Lineage: Eukaryota; Metazoa; Chordata; Aves; Charadriiformes; Scolopacidae.
GGCUCGACGAGGCCCUGGGCAACCUGGUCUAGUUGGGGGUGUCCCUGCUGACUGCGGGGGGGUCGGACUAGAUGGCCUUUGGAGGUCCCUUCCAGCCUGGACAACUCUAUGAGUCUAAGUGUCUUGGCAGUAUGGAGUUGUUUGGACCUGUUUACUUUCUGAUGAAUACAGUUUCACGUUUUCCAGUUAUCCACUCAGAUAUAUUCCUUUUAUUCCUUUUUAGGCCCUCUCAACAGAAGCACUAGCUAUAGACUAUCCCAGCAGUCUCUGUCGUUGUCCACACAGCCAUAGUGGAUAAGGUGACAGUAUUACCAGGAACAGCAUUUGUAGGUGUCGAUUGUGUAACAUCUGGCAGAGAGCACAGCUGGAAGUUUAUCCUCUUUCUGAGAGCAAGCUCUGAUUUUACAACAGCACUUACUCCCGAUGCAAAAUAAGCCAUAACAGAACAAGUUGACUUUGCCAUUUUACAGGAUCUUUUCUCAGAGUACCACACACAAGUGCUAGUUGCAUGCAAGACACUGUGCUGUUUCUUUCAUUAUUUUUUUUAAUAUGGUAAAUUCACAUUAUUUAUCCUUAUUUUACUAUAUGUUUCAUAACACAGAGAUCUCAGGAGCUGAUCCUAGCAUUUUCACAAUAGGUAAGCUUUCAGUGGCACAGGAGGACACUUUGUACUUGUUUGAUUGUAGCACGUUUGAAGACUUCAGAAUCUUAAACCUUCACUGCAAGAAUUAAGCAAGAUGGAGAAAAUGAGAACAUCACACAAUGAUUCUUAUUUUAGUCACAACAUUUGUUUCUUUACUGGCCCGCUGGCACGGCUCGGCAAGUGGAUAAAUUACAGGUUUCAAAGCCAUUUGGUAUUUAUCCAGGUCAUUAGCAGAGGUGGUGGUGUCAGAUAUAUAUUUAGUGUAAAAUAUGGAAGCAUAGGCCUUCAGUUUGGUGCCCAGCUGGGGCAGGAUAGCAACAAGAAAUGCAGGGACACACAACUCUCUCCCCUUCCCCUGUCACCAGUGGGCAACAGGAAGAAUAGACCGUACGUUGCAGCUAAUUCUGAUGCUUCAUUUGAAGAGGAGGAUUGUUGGUCUCACCAGGAAAGGUCAGAUAAGAAAUAGGUUGUCUUUUGUGUCUUUUACAGCAGUAGGGACUACGGCCUCAGAAACAGCACCAGGAUUUUAGCAAUGCUGCUGCUUUCUUCUUGGAGCCAGCCCUGCUUCCCUAAGGAACCGUGGGGUUUGGCACGAGCCGUCGAGCGUUGAAAUAAUUGAGAUGCAAUAUUGCUUACCCCCCAAAAAAAUUGUCAAAAUAGCAGUCAUUCUGCGAUGGCUUACUGAAACUCAAAGAGCCAACUGUUUGAAAUUUAUCUUCAAAAAUAAAAGGAAGUAUAAGUUGAAAGUUGUAGGGUUUUUCCCCCCCCCUCCCUAAGCUGAGAUGUACUCAAAGGGAAAAUUUCAAAGUUGUGUUCCAUAGUUUGGGUGUACUCAGGUUUCUCAGGAAAAUCAGGCACGGUCAGUGUGGGCAAAAAGUAUUUUUCCCAUUCUUUUUCUCAAAAGCGGCUAAAACACUUUACUGAAACUUUAAAAAAAAAAAAGAAA